GAUUUUUUAAUGGCCGCGGUAUUUUGACCGUGCAAAGGUAGCAUAAUCAUUAGUUCAUUAAUUGUGGGAUGGUAUGAAUGGCUGGACGAAAUAUUGGCUGUCUCUUAUUAAUUUUUAGAAUUUAAUUUUUGAGUGAAAAAGCUUAAAUUUUUUUAUAGGACGAGAAGACCCUAUAGAUCUUUAUUUUUAUUUUUAUUAAUUUAUUUAGUUUAUUUUAUAUUGAUUUAUUUAUUUAUUUUGUUGGGGUGACAUUAAGAUAUUUUUAACUCUUAAUUUUUUUUUUCAUUAAUUUAUGUUUAUAUGAUCUUUUAUUAUUGUUCAUAAGAAACAGAUACCUUAGGGAUAACAGCGUAAUUUCUAUUAAGAGUUCAUAUUGACAUAGAAGAUUGCGACCUCGAUGUUGAAUUAAGAUUAUUAUUAGGUGAAGAUGCUUAAUUAUUUGGUCUGUUCGACCAUUAAAUUCUUACAUGAUCUGAGUCAAAA
This 483-nucleotide ribosomal RNA is filed under the name Walaphyllium zomproi. Its description in RNAcentral is "partial large subunit ribosomal RNA". The stretch from base 342 to 483 matches the Rfam family "Bacterial large subunit ribosomal RNA", at positions 2473 to 2615 of the family's 2925-position model. Lineage: Eukaryota; Metazoa; Arthropoda; Insecta; Phasmatodea; Phylliidae. The record is from RNAcentral.